RNAcentral lists this ribosomal RNA (304 nucleotides) under uncultured bacterium. RNAcentral's name for it is "partial 16S ribosomal RNA". It matches the Rfam family "Bacterial small subunit ribosomal RNA", at positions 506 to 809 of the family's 1533-position model. The record is from RNAcentral.
CAGCAGUAGCCGCGGGAAUACAGAGGGUGCGAGCGUUAAUCGGAUUUACUGGGCGUAAAGCGUGCGUAGGCGGCUUCUUAAGUCGGAUGUGAAAUCCCUGAGCUUAACUUAGGAAUUGCAUUCGAUACUGGGAAGCUAGAGUAUGGGAGAGGAUGGUAGAAUUCCAGGUGUAGCGGUGAAAUGCGUAGAGAUCUGGAGGAAUACCGAUGGCGAAGGCAGCCAUCUGGCCUAAUACUGACGCUGAGGUACGAAAGCAUGGGGAGCAAACAGGAUUAGAUACCCCGGUAGUCCCUGUCUCUUAUAA